This 468-nucleotide ribosomal RNA is filed under the name uncultured bacterium. RNAcentral describes it as "partial 16S ribosomal RNA". It matches the Rfam family "Bacterial small subunit ribosomal RNA", at positions 28 to 507 of the family's 1533-position model. The record is from RNAcentral.
GACGAACGCUGGCGGCGUGCUUAACACAUGCAAGUCGAACGGAAAGGCCCUGCUUUUGUGGGGUGCUCGAGUGGCGAACGGGUGAGUAACACGUGAGUAACCUGCCCUUGACUUUGGGAUAACUUCAGGAAACUGGGGCUAAUACCGGAUAGGAGCUCCUGCUGCAUGGUGGGGGUUGGAAAGUUUCGGCGGUUGGGGAUGGACUCGCGGCUUAUCAGCUUGUUGGUGGGGUAGUGGCUUACCAAGGCUUUGACGGGUAGCCGGCCUGAGAGGGUGGCCGGCCACAUUGGGCCUGCGAUACGGCCCAGACUCCUACGGGAGGCAGCAGUGGGGAAUAUUGCACAAUGGGCGGAAGCCUGAUGCAGCAACGCCGCGUGCGGGAUGACGGCCUUCGGGUUGUAAACCGCUUUCGCCUGUGACGAAGCGUGAGUGACGGUAAUGGGUAAAGAAGCACCGGCUAACUACGUG